AUCAUUUCUGGUUUAUAAGCAUGAUUAUUGGGUGUUCAUAAGUUUAUGUGACAUGUGCCUUUCUUAAAUCUUGUUCUGCACUUGACACAUUACCUAUUUGAUC
Sorex fumeus (smoky shrew) is the source of this 103-nucleotide small nucleolar RNA. RefSeq annotates it as small nucleolar RNA U13. The record is from RefSeq and is a predicted model, not a curated record. The transcript has a single exon. Lineage: Eukaryota; Metazoa; Chordata; Mammalia; Eulipotyphla; Soricidae.